RNAcentral lists this ribosomal RNA (253 nucleotides) under uncultured bacterium. RNAcentral describes it as "partial 16S ribosomal RNA". It matches the Rfam family "Bacterial small subunit ribosomal RNA", at positions 524 to 776 of the family's 1533-position model. The record is from RNAcentral.
UACGGAGGAUCCAAGCGUUAUCCGGAUUUAUUGGGUUUAAAGGGUGCGUAGGCGGCCUAUUAAGUCAGGGGUGAAAGACGGUAGCUUAACUAUCGCAGUGCCCUUGAUACUGAUGGGCUUGAAUGUACUUGAGGUAGGCGGAAUGUGACAAGUAGCGGUGAAAUGCAUAGAUAUGUCACAGAACACCAAUUGCGAAGGCAGCUUAUUAAAGUAUGAUUGACGCUGAGGCACGAAAGCGUGGGGAUCAAACAGG